GUGGGGAAUAUUGGACAAUGGGGGCAACCCUGAUCCAGCAAUGCCGCGUGUGUGAAGAAGGUCUUCGGAUCGUAAAGCACUUUCGACGGGGACGAUGAUGACGGUACCCGUAGAAGAAGCCCCGGCUAACUUCGUGCCAGCAGCCGCGGUAAUACGAAGGGGGCUAGCGUUGCUCGGAAUUACUGGGCGGAAAGGGCGCGUAGGCGGCUCUGUUAGUCAGGCGUGAAAUUCCUGGGCUUAACCUGGGGACUGCGCUUGAUACUGCGGAGCUUGAGGCCGAGAGAGGGUGGUGGAAUUCCCAGUGUAGAGGUGAAAUUCGUAGAUAUUGGGAAGAACACCGGUGGCGAAGGCGACCACCUGGCUCGGUACUGACGCUGAGGCGCGACAGCGUGGGGAGCAAACAGGAUUAGAAACCCCAGUAGUCC
This 425-nucleotide ribosomal RNA is filed under the name uncultured bacterium. RNAcentral's name for it is "partial 16S ribosomal RNA". It matches the Rfam family "Bacterial small subunit ribosomal RNA", at positions 354 to 796 of the family's 1533-position model. The record is from RNAcentral.